RNAcentral lists this ribosomal RNA (253 nucleotides) under uncultured bacterium. Its description in RNAcentral is "partial 16S ribosomal RNA". It matches the Rfam family "Bacterial small subunit ribosomal RNA", at positions 524 to 776 of the family's 1533-position model. The record is from RNAcentral.
CACGUAGGGCGCAAGCGUUGUCCGGAAUUAUUGGGCGUAAAGCGUCCGCAGGUGGCACUUCAAGUCUGUCGUCAAAGACCGGGGCUUAACCCUGGAAAGGCGAUGGAAACUGAAAGGCUAGAGAGAGGUAGGGGUAGAGGGAAUUCCCAGUGUAGCGGUGAAAUGCGUAGAGAUUGGGAAGAACAUCGGUGGCGAAAGCGCUCUACUGGACCUCAUCUGACACUCAGGGACGAAAGCUAGGGGAGCGAAUGGG